Molecule: long non-coding RNA, 2129 nt
Filed under: Panax ginseng (ginseng)
Lineage: Eukaryota; Viridiplantae; Streptophyta; Magnoliopsida; Apiales; Araliaceae
Description: long non-coding RNA (PGIN_LNC006055)
Source: RNAcentral
UAAGAGAGAGAGAGCUUGGAGGUGGGUUGAAGCAGCUGUUUCUGACGGUGUAUUAAAGACCAAUAAUUCUGGGGCAACAGGGAUUAGGGACGGUCGGGGUUGGAGACCGGGUGAGCUGGAUGUGCCACAUCAGCGGAGAAACCAAAAAAAAAAAACUUAACCCACAAUCUCACUUUACCAAUAUGCGUAUAUCACUUCCAUCUCUCUCACACCAGAUCUCUACUUUGCUGUUGCUGCUCCAUGUGGGAAGCCAUUAACUCUCUGUUUCGUUGCUUCCCUUCCCUCUCUCUCUUCUAGCAGCCUUCAAGGUAUGCAUACUAUUACUCUCUCAUACGCCUAAAUCUGGGUAGAACAGACUUAAAUUCCCAAAACCCUAAAAAGUUAUUGGAAAAGGAAAAUUUGAGUGUUGCUAGAUUCUUUCCGCUUGUAAAUUUUGUGUUAAUUAUUGUUUUGGGUGUAAAUUUUGUGUAAAUUCUUGUUUUGGGUAUAAAUUUUGUGCAAAUUCUUGUUUUGUAAAUUUGACAGUAUUCUCCCCCAACCUCUUCUUAGUUUUUAGCGACGGACAACAUAUAGCGACGGACAACAUCGACGGUUUUAUAUAGCGACGGACCGAAUCGUCGUCCGGUCCGUCGCUAAAAGGGGUGAGCAAGGUGAGCUAGAUAAGGGAUGAGCUUAAGAUCCAGACCGUAUAUAUAUAUAUAUAUACACAUUUAAAGUUAUUAGACUCACAACUUAUAGGUUUACAAUGGUUGGAAUAGGAUAUUGUGAAAUACUAUAAUUGGGCAAAAUAAAUUUGAAAGAAGCACUACAAGCGUCAAUAAAUAAUUUUUUUAUUGAUGUAUUUUGACUCUCCUCUAAAAAUGUUCUGGUUCCGCCGCUGAGUAUUAAUAUCUAAUAGAGCGUGCAUUGAUUAAACUAGGUCUGUCAAUGCACCAAAAUAUGUUGAAUUAAUGGAGGAUACAGAACAUACACGUAAAAAGAUGUUAACUGAAACGAACAAUAGUCUAAAAGAUUAGGUUUUGCUAAAGCUUAGAUCUUGGAAAAUCCAAUGAGGAUGUUUACUUUUUUGAUUAAAAUUUGUGCUUGAACUAGCCAUGGUGGUAUUAUUCGUGUCACUGAAUUCCUCUCCUUUAACAGUUUUAAUAAAACCAAAUGAGUCUACAUCCCUCAAGUCGUCUAAUUUUAGGCUGCAAUGUUGCUUGUGGAUUUGUGAUCAUCUUUUUUUGCCAAUUCUACCUCCAAUGCUCAGUGUCAGCUCUACAUCACUACACUUCUCAACGAUAUUCAUCCCACUGAGUUUCCCGGGCAUGUGAGUACUAAGUCCUGUUUGGUCUUUAUCGAUGGCACUAACAGAAAAUUUUGUAUAUAUAAUUUGUAUACAAAUGCCACUAAAAUGCCCCUAAUUAAUGAUUUCACCAAAAGGGUAUGUGAAUUUUUUCUAGUUUCUUUUAUUAGGUUUUAUGUAUUUCUUAUUUCAAAAUUUUGUUAAAGUUCAUAUUUUUCUUUACUUGAUAAUGGUUUAACAAUGCAUUUUUCUUAUAAAAAUUUAGGGAUUAGAAGGGAAACUUUUUAUUUGUCAUUUUUGAAGAAAGACAACAUGGCAUCAUAAAGCAUUGUAGAAAGCAACGAAUUUGAUAUAUUCAAAGCAAAGCAAUGUCAUUGUGGACAAUUUGCGAUUUGUAAAAUUACCCGCUUCGAUAAGAAUGGAAAUGAAGGUCUAAUCUACUAUGCUUGCCCGAAUGGAAAAUGCGAUUUAUUGGGAUGGUGCAAGGCUAUAAAUGAAGUUUUGUUUUGUUAGAAGUUGUAAUGGAGGUGAAGUUGUGAAAGAAAUUGUAAUUGACAAAGUGUAAUGGAAUUUAUAAUGACAACGCUUUCUAUUAGACAAGAGUUGAAAACUCGGAAAGUUUCUACUUACUUGUGUGUGUAUAUGUAUACAUGAGAAAAUGUUGUGCUUUUCUAUGUUGUGGUGUCUUGCCGGCAUUGGCAUUGUAUAUGGAACUCAAAUAUCUUCUUGUUGCGAAAUUAGAGCCCUAUAAAUUCUGUUAUAUACUAGUUAAGCAUCACCACCAUUAUAUGCAACACUGAAAUUUAGUACACAUUUUCUAUUCAAGGGAAAAGGUAAAAGAGGG